AUUGAACGCUGGCGGAAUGCUUUACACAUGCAAGUCGAACGGCAGCACGGACUUCGGUCUGGUGGCGAGUGGCGAACGGGUGAGUAAUAUAUCGGAACGUGCCCAGUCGUGGGGGAUAACGUAGCGAAAGUUACGCUAAUACCGCAUACGAUCUAAGGAUGAAAGCGGGGGAUCGCAAGACCUCGCGCGAUUGGAGCGGCCGAUAUCAGAUUAGGUAGUUGGUGGGGUAAAGACUCACCAAGCCAACGAUCUGUAGCUGGUCUGAGAGGACGACCAGCCACACUGGAACUGAGACACGGUCCAGACUCCUACGGGAGGCAGCAGUGGGGAAUUUUGGACAAUGGACGCAAGUCUGAUCCAGCCAUUCCGCGUGCAGGAUGAAGGCCCUCGGGUUGUAAACUGCUUUUGUACGGAACGAAAAGGUCUCUCUUAAUACGGGGGACUCAUGACGGUACCGUAAGAAUAAGCACCGGCUAACUACGUGCCAGCCGCCGCCGUAA
Molecule: ribosomal RNA, 500 nt
Filed under: uncultured bacterium
Lineage: Bacteria
Description: partial 16S ribosomal RNA
Rfam family: Bacterial small subunit ribosomal RNA
Source: RNAcentral